GGAUGAACGCUGGCGGCGUGCCUAAUACAUGCAAGUCGAGCGAACAGAUAAGGAGCUUGCUCCUUUGACGUUAGCGGCGGACGGGUGAGUAACACGUGGAUAACCUACCUAUAAGACUGGGAUAACUUCGGGAAACCGGAGCUAAUACCGGAUAACAUAUUGAACCGCAUGGUUCAAUAGUGAAAGGCGGCUUUGCUGUCACUUAUAGAUGGAUCCGCGCCGUAUUAGCUAGUUGGUAAGGUAACGGCUUACCAAGGCAACGAUACGUAGCCGACCUGAGAGGGUGAUCGGCCACACUGGAACUGAGACACGGUCCAGACUCCUACGGGAGGCAGCAGUAGGGAAUCUUCCGCAAUGGGCGAAAGCCUGACGGAGCAACGCCGCGUGAGUGAUGAAGGUCUUCGGAUCGUAAAACUCUGUUAUCAGGGAAGAACAAAUGUGUAAGUAACUGUGCACAUCUUGACGGUACCUGAUCAGAAAGCCACGGCUAACUACGUGCCAGCAGCCGCGGUAAUACGUAGGUGGCAAGCGUUAUCCGGAAUUAUUGGGCGUAAAGCGCGCGUAGGCGGUUUUUUAAGUCUGAUGUGAAAGCCCACGGCUCAACCGUGGAGGGUCAUUGGAAACUGGAAAACUUGAGUGCAGAAGAGGAAAGUGGAAUUCCAUGUGUAGCGGUGAAAUGCGCAGAGAUAUGGAGGAACACCAGUGGCGAAGGCGACUUUCUGGUCUGUAACUGACGCUGAUGUGCGAAAGCGUGGGGAUCAAACAGGAUUAGAUACCCUGGUAGUCCACGCCGUAAACGAUGAGUGCUAAGUGUUAGGGGGUUUCCGCCCCUUAGUGCUGCAGCUAACGCAUUAAGCACUCCG
Molecule: ribosomal RNA, 863 nt
Filed under: Staphylococcus sp. M_Sw_oHS_06/10_7_1(2)
Lineage: Bacteria; Bacillati; Bacillota; Bacilli; Caryophanales; Staphylococcaceae
Description: bacterial SSU rRNA
Rfam family: Bacterial small subunit ribosomal RNA
Source: RNAcentral